Molecule: ribosomal RNA, 301 nt
Filed under: uncultured bacterium
Lineage: Bacteria
Description: partial 16S ribosomal RNA
Rfam family: Bacterial small subunit ribosomal RNA
Source: RNAcentral
CAGUAGCCGCGGUAAUGCAGAGGCCUCAAGCGUUGUUCGGAUUCAUUGGGCGUAAAGGGAGCGUAGGCGGUCGGGUAAGUCGGAUGUGAAAUCUUGGGGCUCAACCUCAAAACUGCAUUCGAUACUGCUUGGCUAGAGGAAUGGAGGGGAGAUUGGAAUUCACGGUGUAGCAGUGAAAUGCGUAGAUAUCGUGAGGAAGACCAGUGGCGAAGGCGGAUCUCUGGACAUUUCCUGACGCUGAUGCUCGAAGGCCAGGGGAGCAAACGGGAUUAGAUACCCGCGUAGUCCCUGUCUCUUAUAC